Gorilla gorilla gorilla (western lowland gorilla) is the source of this 148-nucleotide non-coding RNA. It matches the Rfam family "Metazoan signal recognition particle RNA". From Rfam's summary of the family: The signal recognition particle (SRP) is a universally conserved ribonucleoprotein. It is involved in the co-translational targeting of proteins to membranes. The eukaryotic SRP consists of a 300-nucleotide 7S RNA and six proteins: SRPs 72, 68, 54, 19, 14, and 9. NCBI's taxonomy places the organism in Eukaryota, Metazoa, Chordata, Mammalia, Primates, Hominidae. The record is from Rfam.
GCCAGGUGUGGUGGUGCGCACCUGUAGUCCCAGCUACUUGGGAGGCUGAGGUGGGAGGAUCACCUGAGCCCAGGAGGUCUAGGCUGCAGUGAGCCGUGAUCACUCCACUACACUCCAGCCUGGGCAAUAGAGUGAAAACCUGUCUGAA